GGGAAUAUUGGACAAUGGGCGAAAGCCUGAUCCAGCCAUGCCGCGUGAGUGAUGAAGGCCCUAGGGUUGUAAAGCUCUUUUGUGCGGGAAGAUAAUGACGGUACCGCAAGAAUAAGCCCCGGCUAACUUCGUGCCAGCAGCCGCGGUAAUACGAAGGGGGCUAGCGUUGCUCGGAAUCACUGGGUGUAAAGGGCGCGCAGGCGGGAUAAAAAGUCAGUGGUGAAAUCCUACAGCUUAACUGUAGAACUGCCUUUGAUACUUUCAUUCUUGAGUUCGGGAGAGAGAGACGGAAUUCCAGGUGUAGUGGUGAAAUACGUAGAUAUCUGGAAGAACACCAGUUGCGAAGGCGGUCUCUUGGUCCGAUACUGACGCUGAGGCGCGAAAGCGUGGGGAGCAAACA
This 400-nucleotide ribosomal RNA is filed under the name uncultured bacterium. RNAcentral describes it as "bacterial SSU rRNA". It matches the Rfam family "Bacterial small subunit ribosomal RNA", at positions 357 to 774 of the family's 1533-position model. The record is from RNAcentral.